CGCGGGGUGGAGCAGUUGGCAGCUCGUCGGGCUCAUAACCCGAAGGUCAUAGGUUCAAAUCCUAUCCCCGCAACCA
This 76-nucleotide transfer RNA is filed under the name Desulfotomaculum sp. Its description in RNAcentral is "tRNA-Met". It matches the Rfam family "tRNA". Rfam says of the family: Transfer RNA (tRNA) molecules are approximately 80 nucleotides in length. Their secondary structure includes four short double-helical elements and three loops (D, anti-codon, and T loops). The record is from RNAcentral. Lineage: Bacteria; Bacillati; Bacillota; Clostridia; Eubacteriales; Desulfotomaculaceae. RNAcentral also lists the same sequence under 2 other names.